GACGAACGCUGGCGGCGUGCUUAACACAUGCAAGUCGAACGGAAAGGCCCUGCUUUUGUGGGGUGCUCGAGUGGCGAACGGGUGAGUGACACGUGAGUAACCUGCCCUUGACUUUGGGGUAACUUCAGGAAACUGGGGAUAAUACAGGAUAGGAGCUACUGAUGCACGGUGGGGGUUGGAAAGUUUCGGCGGUGGGGGCUGGACUCGCGGCUUAUCAGCUUGUUGGUGGGGUAGUGGCUUAACAAGGCUUUGACGGGUAGCCGGCCUGAGAGGGUGACCGGCCACAUUGGCACUGCGAUAGGGCCCAGACUCCUACUGGCGGCAUCGGUGGGAAUCAUUGCGCAAUAGGCCGAAGCCUGAGGCAGCGACGCCGGGUUCGUGAUGUCGGCUUUUCGGUUGUAAACCGCUUUCUCCUGUGACGAAGCGGGAUUGACGGUACUGGAUAAAGAAGCACCGGCUAACUACGUG
RNAcentral lists this ribosomal RNA (468 nucleotides) under uncultured bacterium. Its description in RNAcentral is "partial 16S ribosomal RNA". It matches the Rfam family "Bacterial small subunit ribosomal RNA", at positions 28 to 507 of the family's 1533-position model. The record is from RNAcentral.